Long non-coding RNA from Stegostoma tigrinum, 1112 nucleotides. RefSeq lists it as uncharacterized. Lineage: Eukaryota; Metazoa; Chordata; Chondrichthyes; Orectolobiformes; Stegostomatidae. The record is from RefSeq and is a predicted model, not a curated record. The transcript has 8 exons.
CGCGCGCGGCCGGAGACGGGCUCGUGUUUUUGCUUGGCCCCGAGGAGGAGGACGAAUAAUGGCUACAAGAAUCGCUUCUCCGCAUGUGGAGUGUAUUGUGGUCGGCUCUGGCUCGGGGAUAAACCGUGCCCUGACAGUUACAGGCCGGAGGGGAAGCAGUUUGCUCUUGAGAGCCCGGUUGUGAGCGUCGGAGAGGGAGAGCGGGAGAACUCCCCAUGGAUGCGGAAAGAGCGGAUGACAAAUACCUUUAUCAGAUGCCAGCAACAAUUUGAAAAUUACCACUGAUAAAAACUUACAGUUAAUUGGAAUGGCCUUUUCCAUGGAAAUGGUGUUUUGGUGAAUAAGAAGAAGGACCAAUUGCGUCAUCCAACCAGGCAGGAAGUUGCUGACAAUGUCACAGAUGGCAUCUUCAUAGAUGUGUGGCAACAGUGUCUACCAUCGACAAAGAGUUAUCGACUUGUACAGACUCUUCAGUUCGCCUUGUCUGUGCCAUAAAAUGGCUUACCAAGCCUCUUGAACAACAUCUUCUCACUCAUGCCCCCUAUCACCUAGAAAGAUGAUGUCCACGACUACAUAUUCUGGUAGCUGUCUGAAUGAAUGUUAGACUGAUUUUGCAAUGACCAUCACAGAGCUAUUUGAGCCUGAUUAUGAAGUCCACUACCAUACAGUUUUGCAUCUCUUGCUGAGUCCUUUACUGAAACCCAACAAUCUAACUGAAGAAUGGUAGUUGUUGGAUACUUUUAUUUAGUAUCUUCUGGAUUUACUACUGGAGCGUUAUGGAACUGGAAUCUAGGAAAGCUUCAAAGACCCAAUUACAGCAGAAAGGAUUUGGAAAUAUCUUAAAUCGUUGGAAUUUCAAAUGAAAAAUUCAACCUAAAUGUUUUGGGAGCACAUUGCCUUUGAACAACUUCAUAUGAAUGAAACUUUCCAGCAGGAGCUACUUGUGAACAGUUGAUGGAUUAUAAUUUCACUUGAGACUCAAAUAAUUUAUACAAAUUUUUUGAGUGAACUGAGAUUGCUGAAGAUGAGGGGAUGUAAUGAAACCCAGUUAAAAAUAAUUUUCAUUAAAAGUUGUACAUUAAAGUAAUAAAGCAAUGAAGUUAUUUUUAAAA